GACCGGUUGUCCCUCGGAGUGCCCGCCACUCGGGAAACAAAAGCCAUGGGAGGUCGGCUCUCUACCCCGCGGCACAAGUUACAGCCAAAGUCCACGCGAGUGGGGGGCCAACAGACAGGCUCUCCACUGUUUCUCUUUAUUAAUGGGGAGUGGCUUGGGGUUCCCAGUGGCAGGAUUGGGACCCGGAAACUCCACCUUGACAAUCUUUUUUUGGUUUGGAGAUACCGAGAUACUGGGAAGGCCUCUCCGGGGCACCGGCUUCAAGGAGUUCAAAUAUACCUCUCUAAGUCUGUGCUGAGAGCCAAGUCCCUGAAAGCUACAGCCCAAGGUUUUAAAAAUCAGGACCAAGGAGAGAAGUUUUAGUUCACCUGUGAGAUGGAAGACACUGUGUCAUCAGAGCGUUGCUGGCGGGGAAGACGUUCUGAUCCUUCGGAAAAUGAUGGGGCAUCUCUUCAGAGACACCAGGUGUGACUCAGAACAGACUUCAGAUGGACUCAGAGGAGCUGUCACACCAGGAAGGUUGAGAACGUAACUGGAGGGUUGGCGCUGUCGGCUGCUGAGAACGAGCUGCUGCCCUUGUCACUGCGGCGAAACACCCAACGACUUACGGGAGAGAGGACUUAUUCUGGUGACAGUUUCAGGGGUACUGCUCCUCAGGUGAAUGGAUGUAUCUGUCAGUCAGUAGAGUGGGGUGUAUCUGUCAGUAUAGUGGGGUGUAUCUGUCAGUAGAGUGGGGUGUAUCUCUCUGUAGAGUGGGGUGUAUCAGUCAGUAGAGUGGGAUGUAUCUGUCAGUAGAGUGGGAUGUAUCUGUCAGUAGAAUGGGGUGUAUCUGUCAGUAAUUGUGAGAGCCGCAGGUGGCAUCUCCUCCUCACACUUUAGCAGACCAGAAAGCAAAGAAAUGGACCAGAAGCAGAGUCAAGCCCAAGACCCAUCCCCAGGGCCUAAGUCCACAGCUGGGUUCCUAGCCCCAGAGGUUCCAUAACCUCCCAAACAGCAAGCACCUCCAGUCAAAGACCAAAUGCCCCCAAACAUGAGCCUGUGGGUGGCAUUUCACAGUGGCAUCAUAGCACCCACUUCUACCUCUAGGGAGGGAAGAGGGGCCGAAGAAUGAGUCCAGUCACAUGGUUAGUAGUGAACUCCAUUGAGCUUCCCAGUUGAUGCCACGCAAUGUGAGAGGGGUCAUGCCACACACCUGGGGACAGAGCGGCCACCUCUCCUUCAGACUUCACCCAGAUUGUCUGUUUCUAAAGCUGGGCAUGGUGCACGGACCUGUUAUCCCAGCAAAGGCCCGGGAAUCAAGAGCUCAGGGCUAGCCUCCUCUAUAUAACAUGUUUAAGUCUAGCCUAGGCUACAAGAGACCCUAUCUCAAAAUAGUAACAACAAUAAGAAGACAACAAUAAGAAAAACCAAAACAACAACAACACAAAACAAGCGUGCGGCUGUUUCUAACUUGUACCAUUUACAAUAGGUUGGUGCUAAGCCUUUGCUGGGUUCUGUGAGUUGAAGCAAGUCCUCAAUUCUGAAGCGGAGUCUUGGGAACCCUGAACUGAUAGCCACACUGGUUAGGAAGAGCCCUGGGUAAACCCCUGGGAUUACCCAUGCUGGUGUGCUGUGGGCUGAGUUCCAGAUCUGCAGGGGCAAACUGCAGGUACUGUGAGAACCGAGUGUAACUGCUGGGUGCCCAGCUGGUGCUGAGGAAGUGCUGAAACACACUGGGGGUAGGGAGCACUCUCACAUUGUGUGAAAACAUUGUGAAUACUACCAGCAAGAACGUAGACCUUGAAUACCAACUAGAAGCAAUUGUGUUACUAGAACACGUGAAGGGAGAUUAACACAGUGCUUCUCAACCUAUGGGGUUUCGACCCCUCUGGGAAUUGACGAACCCUUUCACAGGGGUUAUAUAUCAGAUAGCCUGUAUAUCAGAUAUUACAUUACUACUCAUAACAGUAGCAAAAUUACAGUUAUGAAGUGGCAACACAAAUAAUUUUAUGGUUGGGGGUCACCACAACAUGAGGAACUGUAUUAAAGGGCCUCAGCAUUAGGAAGGUUGAGAGCCAGUGGAUUCAAGUAUUGACUUUUUAAAAGGUGUAUUUAUUUUAUGUGUAUGAGUGUCUUGCCUGCACAAUUGUUGGUGAACCAUGUGCAAACCUCAGCCUACAGUCUGGAGAGGAUGUCCGACCCCCUGGAACUGGAAUUAUAGAUGGGCUGUGAGCCACUCUGGUUGCUGGGAAUUGAACUCAGGUCUUCUGCAAGAGCAGUAAGUGCUCUUAACCUCUGAGCCAUCUCUCCAGCCCCAGUAGUGACAUUCAGAAUUAUUUAUUUAUUUUGUGUGCAGGUGUGUGUGAGAGGAGUCCAUCCUCUCCUUCCUCCAUUCCUGGGGAUCCAACUCAGGUCCUCAGGGUUGGCAACAGGCAUCUUUUCCUCCUGAGCCUUCUCUCCUGACCUUGACAGUUAUUUAGAGUUGUCCUUUUUUUCUCUGGCUUUUUGUUUUCUUUGAGACAGGUUUCCUCUGUGUGUCCUGGCUGUCCUGAAACUUGCUUUAUAGCCCAGGCUGGCUUUGAACUCACAGAGAUCUGCCUUCCAAGUGCUGGGAUUAAAGGCGGGCUCCACCACUGCCAGGCUGAGCUAAGCCAUUCUUCACUACACAAAUGCUACAAGGUAUACAAUAAACAACAAUGAAAACAAACAAAACCUCUCUCCUUAUUGUUCUACUGACCCAUCAAAGAUGAUGAAUCUGGUUUACACAAAAUUGUUUUGAGGUGUAGAUCUGGCUGAAGGCUUUGCUAGUCACUUGAAUUAGUGUUCUUCCAUCUGGACCCAGCCUGCCGGGAAACUUGAAACCAAAUAGCCACUGCUAUGGAGUGACUAGACUUGGCCCUCUGAGAGUAACAAGUUAUAUUUCCUCCAACAGAAAUUUUGUUUACAUCGGUUCUUUUAGAGGAAUUGAUUGUUUCCACACUUGCCCCCACCCUCCUCUCCUACAUGGUUGCCUGUUAUUCAACUUACUGAAUUUUGUUUCAGGCCAGGCUCCGACUGUACCCAGUUGAACUAAAAAUCCAAGUGGAGGCAUUCUUACUAAAGAAUGUGCCACCACACUGAAACUAGAUUGUUCUCAGACCUUUUUGAGACUCCAGGAGAGACAUAAUAAAUAGCCAUUUCUCAAAAAAAAAGACCAAUUCCAGUUGACACAUUUCCCCCUGCUCCAAUCCUCACCCCUCCCCCUGAUAAGGAGUUGAAAUAAGCUGAUAGGAAGCAAUCGCUUGGCGGUGGUGGUUUUUCUAUUACUUUGUUUCCCUGUUCCUGGUUAAAAGGAGAGUAACUUUAAACUAACCAACCCCGAGCUGGGGCUGUAGCUAGUUUGGUAGAAUGCUUUGAGUAGCACACCCCAAGCCCUGGUUCUAUCCCCAGCACCACAUAAAACCAUCUCUCUUGGCAAAUGCUUGUAAGUCCAAUAUUCAAAGAGUGGAGGCAGGGGGAUCAGAAACUAACCUCAGGUCUCAGCUGGAGCAUCCCACACUGGGAGAUGCAGGCCAGCCAGCUAUGAGACCCUGUGUACAGGCUUUUUCUUUUAGGCCACCAACCAGCUCCCAAAUCAUGACACGGAGACUUUUAUUAUUAGUUUUAAUGCUCGACCUAGCUUAGGCUCAUUUCUGGCUAGCUCUUUUAACUUUUAACCUGUUUCUCUCUUCCUACCUUUUGCCUCAGAGCUUUUUACCUUUCUUUCACUAUUCCUUGUGUCUGACUGGCCGGCUGUUGCCUGACUUCUUGUCCUCAGUGAGUCCCUCUUUCUCUCCUCCUUCCUUUCUCAUUCCUUCCUGAGCCUCGAUGUCUCCUAUUUAUUCUCUCUGCCCACUGGCCCUCCCUAUCCUUUCUCCUGCCUAGCUAUUGACCGGUCAGUUUUUUUAUUAGACCAAUCAGGUGCCUUAGGCAGACGAAGUGAAACAAGUGUAACACAUCUUUACAUAAUUAAACAGAUGCAGCAUAAACAGAAGUAACACACCUCUCCACUGUUAAAGUAAUAUUCUGCAGCAUAAACACAUGUAGCACAUCUUUGCCUAGUUAAAAGAAUAUUCCACAACAACCCUGUCUUUAAAAACGAACUAAUCUUCUCUACUCUGCCCAUCACAUUGAACCAUGUGCUCUACUUUAAGGAAUGAAAGAAUUACCAGAUUCUAGAAUCAUAAGUCAAGCCAUUUAAGAUAUGCAAGCCAAACUGUUUAAUUUUGUCCUUUCAGACAUCCUUCACUCCCACAUAGAAAGGACAUUAGAAAGUCAUACCAUGAAUAACACAGUGGCAGAAAUACUUUAAAGUCUUUAAAAAGACUUUUAGGGUACAAUAAACAGUUAAUUAUAAGGAAAUUACAUCUCUCUAGGAACAUGGAGAAAGGACUAUUCUGCAUCUUUAGGGCAUGAGCAGUCAAAGGAAGGAAAACACUUAGAUUUGGAAAACGACAAAAAGUCAAACCAACUCAUGAGGCACAACAUAGACUAAAUAUUUGCAAAGUGACCACUUUUAAAUAGGUUUUUUUGUUUGGUUGUUUUG
Long non-coding RNA from Peromyscus californicus insignis, 4543 nucleotides. RefSeq lists it as uncharacterized. The transcript has 3 exons. Lineage: Eukaryota; Metazoa; Chordata; Mammalia; Rodentia; Cricetidae. The record is from RefSeq and is a predicted model, not a curated record.